CGACCGCUCACCUGCAGCGCUGUCCGCUGAUGCUCGGCCCCCGGGGCGCUGCGGGGCGCGGCCAACCGCGCAGCCCGGGGCUCCUGAGCCGCAAAGCCAGGGGUGCCAGGCACACCGAACCGCAACGCACAGCACGUCGCCACUCGCGCCCCUUGGUCGGCGUCACCAGGGAGGGCGGAUGGCGGCCUGACCACUGUGGCCGCCCUGAAAGGGACUGUUCCCCAGGAACCGGUUCCCCCAACAGACACGAACCCCUCCCGCUAACGUCUCCUGCGCGGCCCGCUCCCGAGAACCCUGGCUCGGGAGAGCGACGCGGGGCCCUCGGGCUGCGGCCGUGGCGCCCUCCUGGCCGGCCCGAGGGCGCGGCUCGCUCUCCUUCCCCAUCUCCUUCUCCAGGACGCCUGCCCUCCCGGCUCCCGAUCCCGAGCAGCGGCUGGCUGGGCCACAUUUUAGCCUUCCAGGAUGGCCAGGCACCAGGCUUGUGGCAAAAGGAGCUGGGAGAGAUUUGGAGCCUGUAGCGUAACUCGAGGUGCCCCAGUCACCCGUGAGAGGUCUUCCUUUGGGCACACACGGGUGCAGGGAAGAGGAAAGAACGCGGGGAGCCUCUGGGACUUGGAUGUUGAGAGGGCAUAAGGAGAGAUUCUGAGCUGAGGUCACUGCUCCGGUGACCUGGCCACGUGUGAAGGGAGAGUCUGGGGGUGGGGGUGGGGUUCAACUACAAAGAGGGGUCUAAAAAAGGCAA
This 742-nucleotide long non-coding RNA is filed under the name Rattus norvegicus (Norway rat). RNAcentral's name for it is "long non-coding RNA NONRATT015288". The record is from RNAcentral. Lineage: Eukaryota; Metazoa; Chordata; Mammalia; Rodentia; Muridae.